ACGCACGCUGGCGGCGUGCUUAACACAUGCCAGUCGAACGAAGAGCGAUGGAAGCUUGCUUCUAUCAAUCUUAGUGGCGAACGGGUGAGUAACGCGUAAUCAACCUGCCCUUCAGAGGGGGACAACAGUUGGAAACGACUGCUAAUACCGCAUACGAUCUAAUCUCGGCAUCGAGGAUAGAUGAAAGGUGGCCUCUACAUGUAAGCUAUCACUGAAGGAGGGGAUUGCGUCUGAUUAGCUAGUUGGAGGGGUAACGGCCCACCAAGGCGAUGAUCAGUAGCCGGUCUGAGAGGAUGAACGGCCACAUUGGGACUGAGACACGGCCCAGACUCCUACGGGAGGCAGCAGUGGGGAAUCUUCCGCAAUGGACGAAAGUCUGACGGAGCAACGCCGCGUGAGUGAUGACGGCCUUCGGGUUGUAAAGCUCUGUUAAUCGGGACGAAAGGCCUUCUUGCGAAUAGUGAGAAGGAUUGACGGUACCGGAAUAGAAAGCCACGGCUAACUACGUG
RNAcentral lists this ribosomal RNA (509 nucleotides) under uncultured bacterium. Its description in RNAcentral is "partial 16S ribosomal RNA". It matches the Rfam family "Bacterial small subunit ribosomal RNA", at positions 29 to 507 of the family's 1533-position model. The record is from RNAcentral.